RNAcentral lists this ribosomal RNA (1506 nucleotides) under uncultured bacterium. RNAcentral's name for it is "bacterial SSU rRNA". It matches the Rfam family "Bacterial small subunit ribosomal RNA". The record is from RNAcentral.
AGAGUUUGAUCCUGGCUCAGAUUGAACGCUGGCGGCAGGCCUAACACAUGCAAGUCGAACGGUAACAGGAAGAAGCUUGCUUCUUUGCUGACGAGUGGCGGACGGGUGAGUAAUGUCUGGGAAACUGCCUGAUGGAGGGGGAUAACUACUGGAAACGGUAGCUAAUACCGCAUAACGUCGCAAGACCAAAGAGGGGGACCUUCGGGCCUCUUGCCAUCGGAUGUGCCCAGAUGGGAUUAGCUAGUAGGUGGGGUAACGGCUCACCUAGGCGACGAUCCCUAGCUGGUCUGAGAGGAUGACCAGCCACACUGGAACUGAGACACGGUCCAGACUCCUACGGGAGGCAGCAGUGGGGAAUAUUGCACAAUGGGCGCAAGCCUGAUGCAGCCAUGCCGCGUGUAUGAAGAAGGCCUUCGGGUUGUAAAGUACUUUCAGCGGGGAGGAAGGGAGUAAAGUUAAUACCUUUGCUCAUUGACGUUACCCGCAGAAGAAGCACCGGCUAACUCCGUGCCAGCAGCCGCGGUAAUACGGAGGGUGCAAGCGUUAAUCGGAAUUACUGGGCGUAAAGCGCACGCAGGCGGUUUGUUAAGUCAGAUGUGAAAUCCCCGGGCUCAACCUGGGAACUGCAUCUGAUACUGGCAAGCUUGAGUCUCGUAGAGGGGGGUAGAAUUCCAGGUGUAGCGGUGAAAUGCGUAGAGAUCUGGAGGAAUACCGGUGGCGAAGGCGGCCCCCUGGACGAAGACUGACGCUCAGGUGCGAAAGCGUGGGGGAGCAACCAGGAUUAGAUACCGUGGUAGUCCACSCGUAAACGAUGUCGACUUGGAGGUUGUGCCCUUGAGGCGUGGCUUCCGGAGCUAACGCGUUAAGUCGACCGCCUGGGGAGUACGGCCGCAAGGUUAAAACUCAAAUGAAUUGACGGGGGCCCGCACAAGCGGUGGAGCAUGUGGUUUAAUUCGAUGCAACGCGAAGAACCUUACCUGGUCUUGACAUCCACAGAACUUUCCAGAGAUGGAUUGGUGCCUUCGGGAACUGUGAGACAGGUGCUGCAUGGCUGUCGUCAGCUCGUGUUGUGAAAUGUUGGGUUAAGUCCCGCAACGAGCGCAACCCUUAUCUUUUGUUGCCAGCGGUCCGGCCGGGAACUCAAAGGAGACUGCCAGUGAUAAACUGGAGGAAGGUGGGGAUGACGUCAAGUCAUCAUGGCCCUUACGACCAGGGCUACACACGUGCUACAAUGGCGCAUACAAAGAGAAGCGACCUCGCGAGAGCAAGCGGACCUCAUAAAGUGCGUCGUAGUCCGGAUUGGAGUCUGCAACUCGACUCCAUGAAGUCGGAAUCGCUAGUAAUCGUGGAUCAGAAUGCCACGGUGAAUACGUUCCCGGGCCUUGUACACACCGCCCGUCACACCAUGGGAGUGGGUUGCAAAAGAAGUAGGUAGCUUAACCUUCGGGAGGGCGCUUACCACUUUGUGAUUCAUGACUGGGGUGAAGUCGUAACAAGGUAACCGUA